Parelaphostrongylus tenuis is the source of this 72-nucleotide non-coding RNA. Lineage: Eukaryota; Metazoa; Nematoda; Chromadorea; Rhabditida; Metastrongylidae. The record is from the annotation of a GenBank genome assembly.
GCAUCCGUGAUGCAAAGGUCAGCAUACGCUCCCAGAAAGAAUGAGAUCUGGGUUCGAAUCCCGGCUGGCGCA